This 474-nucleotide ribosomal RNA is filed under the name uncultured bacterium. RNAcentral's name for it is "bacterial SSU rRNA". It matches the Rfam family "Bacterial small subunit ribosomal RNA", at positions 8 to 526 of the family's 1533-position model. The record is from RNAcentral.
AGAGUUUGAUCCUGGCUCAGAGCGAACGCUGGCGGCAGGCUUAACACAUGCAAGUCGAGCGGGCGUAGCAAUACGUCAGCGGCAGACGGGUGAGUAACGCGUGGGAACGUACCUUUUGGUUCGGAACAACCCAGGGAAACUUGAGCUAAUACCGGAUAAGCCCUAACGGGGAAAGAUUUAUCGCCGAAAGAUCGGCCCGCGUCUGAUUAGCUAGUUGGUGAGGUAAUGGCUCACCAAGGCGACGAUCAGUAGCUGGUCUGAGAGGAUGAUCAGCCACAUUGGGACUGAGACACGGCCCAAACUCCUACGGGAGGCAGCAGUGGGGAAUAUUGGACAAUGGGCGCAAGCCUGAUCCAGCCAUGCCGCGUGAGUGAUGAAGGCCCUAGGGUUGUAAAGCUCUUUUGUGCGGGAAGAUAAUGACGGUACCGCAAGAAUAAGCCCCGGCUAACUUCGUGCCAGCCGCCGCGGUAAUAC